UACAUAGUAGUGUCUGGGUUGGAGACACUGAUUGUCCAAAGCCAUGUUCUGAUUGGCUGGACCCUUUUGUUGAUGUCACAAAACCGCUCCCAACAGUGCAUGGCUGGGACCUCAUCACCAAAAGGAUCUGGAAAAUCUCUACAGCCCUUGUGUUAAAUGAGCAAAGGAGAUGCUGUGUGAGUCCUCGUACAUUGGGAUUUCAAAGAAUCCAUGGCCUAGGACAGUGUGAUGUGUACCACAGCAACUUGGAGCAAUAGCAGGGAUAGAACUUAGAUCCUUCCUCUCCAAAACCCCAGGUGAAAGAGGAACCUGCUUUUAACUGCUAGCAUUAGAGGACCCGUGACACAGCUGAGAAAUUCUGAUCCAGUAAAGGUGUCUUCUUGAUGGCUCUAGACUGCUAUUUUCAAUUCAUCACUAGGGCAGCAAUCUUGCAAUGGGCAGCUGUUGGGAAGAUGUGUGUCACCCUGGAAGGAAAGAGACAUUGAAAUUGGAUUGCAAUAGCAACUUCUUUAUCUUCUAAAGCCUCCCUAGGAAGGCGGGGAAGAGAAGCGGACUUGGAAGCAGACGACUUCGACACUUGGAUGAUCUCCACAGAGGUGCAUGCAGUGAUCCUGCUCCUGACGCAGCUCUUCUGCCAUGCGGGAAGCCUAAGAGAAGGUGACCACUCUUCUGCUCUCCCUGUCAAUUAUGAAUGGCAUUGACUGGCUACGGGGGAGGGCGUCCAGUCUUUGGUUAGAAGCAUGAUCGUUUCAAUGUUAAGCCUUGAGGAAAGCGGGGACAAAACAGAAGGGGAAAUGGAGGAGCUCCCCAGGAUGCCAUCAGUAAUGCAGAAGAUUCCUUCCCUAGCGGACGGACAAAAGAGAAGUGGAUUUCUCCAAGUCUCCUUUUGCCAUAUUGGUAGACAGCACAUACAUUCUCAUCAAGCACAGCAGACUUUCAAUGCCAGCAGCGGAGCAAACAGUACAACGACCCUGUAUCAACAGCGUGGUAUUUGUUUUCACCUGGACAUUGAUUUCGUUGUGCCUCUCAGUGAUCUCUAA
Mauremys reevesii (Reeves's turtle) is the source of this 1040-nucleotide long non-coding RNA. RefSeq lists it as uncharacterized. The record is from RefSeq and is a predicted model, not a curated record. Lineage: Eukaryota; Metazoa; Chordata; Testudines; Geoemydidae. The transcript is spliced from 6 exons.